UUACCAAAACUCUGCCUCAGUUUCCUUGUCUGUAAAACGGGCACAGGAAUAGAUCUACCUCCUAGGAUCGCUGUGACUUCUGAGUGGGAGACUUCGCAGGAAGCACUCUGAACAGUCCCCGGCAGGUAGCUCGUGUUUUGCUCCAGGAGGUGGAUAAGGUGCAGCUUUGCAGAACAGCUCCCCAGAUGGGGUUUCCGGAGGCUGUGGGAGGAGGGACAAGGAGAGAACAAGCAGCCGGCAGGGCAGAGGAACCUGGAGUGAAGAAACACAUGUCCAAUGGUUGCUUUAGUAAAGCUUCUGCUGUUGGGGGUGUGAAAUGAAACUUCUUCCUUGAUUCUCCAAGAAACCGUCCACAAAGGCUAGUUGUGGUGGCUCACGCCUGUAAUCCCAGCAUUUUGGGAGAUGAAGGCAGGUGAAUCGCUUGAGCCUAGGAGUUUGAGACCACCCUGGGCAACAUGGCAAAACCCUGUUUUGUACAAAAAAAUACAAAAAUUAGCCGGGUGUGGUGGUGCACACCUGUAGUCCCAGCUACUCUGGAGACUGAGGUGGGAGGAUUGCUUGAGCCUGAGAUGAGGAAGUUCCAGUAAGCCGUGAUUGUGGCGCUGUACUCCAGCCUGGGUGACACAGUGAGACCCUCUCAAGAAGAAAGAGAGGAAAUAGAAGAGAGAAAGAAAAAAAGAAAGGAAGGAAGGAAGGAGAAGAAAAAAGGAAAGAAAAGAAACAGAAAGAAAGGAAAGAAAGAAAAAAGAAAGGAAGGAAGGAAGGAAGAAAGAAGGAAAAAGAAAGAAAGAAAAUUGUCAACAAAAUCUCCUCUUCUCUCUUGUGCUCACGUUAUGGAAUCAUGUCUAUUUGGGAUGUGUGGCUUCCAGGCGGGCAAGAGCAGGCACAGAUGAGACCGGCGAGAUUGACAGGUUGGAGUUCUGCAAUAUAUAUGGAUCUUCAAUGAGAAGUGACAAGCUGAUGACAAUCAGGGCUGCCACGGAUUUUGCACCACAGUGAGAAGGAUUUCAGGUAGAAACUGAUGAACACCACCUGCCUCAUUUCCAUGAUCACCACCAGCACUAACCCCAGCAUCAACUGUAACCUCUAACUCACACGACUGUUCCCUCCAACCUCACCACCCGCACUGGUGCCAUCCCCAUAACCACCAACAGCACCAUUUCCAGAGC
RNAcentral lists this long non-coding RNA (1169 nucleotides) under Homo sapiens (human). Its description in RNAcentral is "HSALNT0001653". The record is from RNAcentral. Lineage: Eukaryota; Metazoa; Chordata; Mammalia; Primates; Hominidae.